GCCUCCCGCCUAGCGGGAGGUUCUCGAAAGCUUAUAGCUUUGCCUAUGUUGUAAAAACUCCUUUUGAUUUGUUAGCAUUGGCCUGCGGCCUGGCAACUGCAGUCCAUAACAAAUCAAAAG
RNAcentral lists this small RNA (120 nucleotides) under uncultured Mailhella sp. RNAcentral's name for it is "STnc490 Hfq binding RNA". It matches the Rfam family "STnc490 Hfq binding RNA". The record is from RNAcentral. Lineage: Bacteria; Pseudomonadati; Thermodesulfobacteriota; Desulfovibrionia; Desulfovibrionales; Desulfovibrionaceae.